CAGUAGCCGACCUGAGAGGGUGAUCGGCCACAUUGGAACUGAGACACGGUCCAAACUCCUACGGGAGGCAGCAGUGGGGAAUAUUGCACAAUGGGCGAAAGCCUGAUGCAGCAACGCCGCGUGAGUGAUGAAGGCCUUCGGGUCGUAAAACUCUGUCCUCAAGGAAGAUAAUGACGGUACUUGAGGAGGAAGCCCCGGCUAACUACGUGCCAGCAGCCGCGGUAAUACGUAGGGGGCUAGCGUUAUCCGGAUUUACGGGGCGUAAAGGGUGCGUAGGCGGUCUUUCAAGUCAGGAGUGAAAGGCUACGGCUCAACCGUAGUAAGCUCUUGAAACUGGGAGACUUGAGUGCAGGAGAGGAGAGUGGAAUUCCUAGUGUAGCGGUGAAAUGCGUAGAUAUUAGGAGGAACACCAGUUGCGAAGGCGGCUCUCUGGACUGUAACUGACGCUGAGGCACGAAAGCGUGGGGAGCAAACAGGAUUAGAUACCCUGGUAGUCCACGCUGUAAACGAUGAGUACUAGGUGUCGGGGGUUACCCCC
Molecule: ribosomal RNA, 538 nt
Filed under: Clostridioides difficile
Lineage: Bacteria; Bacillati; Bacillota; Clostridia; Peptostreptococcales; Peptostreptococcaceae
Description: bacterial SSU rRNA
Rfam family: Bacterial small subunit ribosomal RNA
Source: RNAcentral